UACGUAGGGUGCGAGCGUUAAUCGGAAUUACUGGGCGUAAAGCGUGCGCAGGCGGUUUUGUAAGACAGGCGUGAAAUACCCGGGCUCAACCUGGGAAUGGCGCUUGUGACUGCAAAGCUGGAGUGCGGCUGAGGGGGAUGGAAAUUCGCGUGUUGCAGUGAAAUGCGUAGAUAUGCGGAGGAACACCGAUGGCGAAGGCAAUUCCCUGAGCCUGCACUGGCGCUCAUGCACGAAAGCGUGGGGAGCAAACAGG
Molecule: ribosomal RNA, 253 nt
Filed under: uncultured bacterium
Lineage: Bacteria
Description: partial 16S ribosomal RNA
Rfam family: Bacterial small subunit ribosomal RNA
Source: RNAcentral